CCUAGUAAGCGCGAGUCAUUAGCUCGCGUUGAUUACGUCCCUGCCCUUUGUACACACCGCCCGUCGCUACUACCGAUUGAAUGGCUUAGUGAGACUUUCAGAUGUGUUUGGAGCCGCUGGCAACAGCGACACCUUGCGCAGAAGUUAUUCAAACUUGGUCAUUUAGAGGAAGUAAAAGUCGUAACAAGGUUUCCGUAGGUGAACCUGCGGAAGGAUCAUUAAAAAAAAAUUUAAUGAAUGGUCGGGGGGGACUUUUUUUGUGCCCUCCGGCUUUAUUCAACCAACCCGCUCUUGUAUUUUGUAUCAAACAAAAAUUUUUAAAAACACUAAUAAAAUAGUAAUGUAAAAAAAAACUUUCAACAACGGAUCUCUUGGCUCUCGCAUCGAUGAAGAACGCAGCGAAAUGCGAUAAGUAGUGUGAAUUGCAGAACUUUGUGAACCAUCGAAUCUUUGAACGGCAAAUUUGCGGCMUAUWUUCGGAARGCAUGUUCUGUUUGAGGGCACCAUUUAACAAAUAAUGUGCGUGYUGCGUUUUGCGCGGCGUGCACACGUUGAUGAGCUUUCCAAAGAAAAAAUUUUUUUUUUUGGUGGCGCAUAAUGAACAGCGUGAAAGCUUUUCUUAAUUCGAGUGUAGUAAAAACGACGCUUGGGUUGUGAGAAGCACAUCGCGCAGUGGGUGUGGCGGUACCCAGCCCCAACCCCACUCUUUCUCACGAAAGAAAAGUUUAAUCAUCAGGGCCUCAAAUCAGACAAGAGUACCCGCUGAACUUAAGCAUAUCAAUAAGCGGAGGAAAAGAAACUAACAAGGAUUCCCCUAGUAACGGCGAGUGAAGCGGGAACAGCUCAAAUUUUAAAUCUGGCUGCUUCGCAGUCCGAGUUGUAGUUUGAAGGAGUCUGUCGCCAGUGCGACGAUGGCACAAGUCCUCUGGAACGUGGCAUCGUAGAGGGUGAGAAUCCCGUCUCUGGUCGUUGUUGCGCUGGCACACGGCAGGCAUCCGAAGAGUCGAGUUGUUUGGGAUUGCAGCUCCAAAUGGGUGGUAAACUCCAUCUAAGGCUAAWUAUUGGCGAGAGACCGAUAGCGAACAAGUACCGUGAGGGAAAGAUGAAAAGAACUUUGAAAAGAGAGUAAAACAGUACGUGAAAUUGUUGAAAGGGAAACGCUUGAAGUCAGUCGUGCCGGCGGUGAUUCAGCUCGCUUCGCGGAGCGGGCGUAUUUCCACGCAUGGCAGGUCAGCGUCAGUUUCGCGCGUCGUGAAGGGGCUCGGGUAAGGUGACUCUCUCCGGGGAGUGUUAUGGACCUGAGCAGAUGCGCUGCGCGGGACUGAGGAUUGCAGCGGACACCCUUCGGGGCGCGGCGACCGACCCCUGCUUCAUCACCCUUGUCCGAUAGCGCGCUAACGGGCCGGGGAGCGGUGGGCGCACCGGGUUGGCAAGCCGGCGGCUCCGCUAAGGACGCUGACGUAAUGGCUUUAAACGACCCGUCUUGAAACACGGACCAAGGA
Molecule: ribosomal RNA, 1502 nt
Filed under: uncultured Glomeromycotina
Lineage: Eukaryota; Fungi; Glomeromycota
Description: eukaryotic LSU rRNA
Source: RNAcentral